This is a long non-coding RNA of Manacus vitellinus (golden-collared manakin), 956 nucleotides long. RefSeq lists it as uncharacterized. The record is from RefSeq and is a predicted model, not a curated record. The transcript is spliced from 6 exons. Lineage: Eukaryota; Metazoa; Chordata; Aves; Passeriformes; Pipridae.
ACUUCGUUCCCCAACUCUUCCCACCCCCUCCCUUGCAGAGUGAGAUUGUUUUGUCUGGAAAAAAAUCCAAAGUAUAACAAGGGGAGAACAGUUAGUGCUGAUUUUCAUUUGCAUAAAUUUUCAUAUAUUUUGGUGAAAAUAAUAGACUAGUGGAGAGCGGGGCUUAGUGGAGUCAGUGCAAAGGAAAAUCUUAACAUGGAUCGUUUCGCUGGAGUUGAGAACAUGCUUUUUUCCCCCUGUCACCUUAUUAAAAUCAAAAAUUAAAAAAAUUUCUCUAAAUCCUGGAAGUAUGAUCGGAGUCUGCCCCUGAUUUUAGUCCAAAGGAGCUGCUCUUUGAAAUGGCGUGUCCAGCUUUGGCGUUUGCCUGCUGAGGAAGAGGCCUGCUCUCUUCUCCACUCUUGGUACAAGGAUUUUUCUCUCUCCAAGUAAUUCCUCAGCAUUGCCUUGAAAGACAUCUGCCACACUAGAUAACUUUUUCAACCCACAAGACCGAAACAACUUCCCUUAAUUGAAAUGACUCCAGAACAGUUAUUCCCUAGAAGACAUCCUCCUUGAUUUCUUGCGGGGCCUGUAAGAUGACUGAAGUCGUAGGAUGUCUGAAGUAGAAAAGAGUGCCAGAGACACCACAGAACAUGGGGAAUGUUGUCCUGCUUCUGAGGUUCAGAUAUACAACUCAACCAUGGGCAGCUGAGGAUGGACUUUCUGCCUCGAUAGGUUUCUGUGGAACAGCAAAGACAUGGAAAAGACAUUGAGGUCCUGUUGCUCCCAUUGGAAACUUCUGUUGGCUGCAGCAUGAGUUGGAUUGGACCCAGAGAAACUGAAUACACACAAGUAAUGAUGAGUUGGCCAUACAAGCAAGGAAAAUCACAGAUAACAGGUGCACACCAAUUAGCAAUGUACCUUUUAGGUCAUCCAAUACAGCUCCAUGUCACAAUGAGAUUGUUUCAUAUGGUAUU